UUCAUAACAGUUUUCCGAAUCACAUAGUCUAAGGCCUGAGGUUUUAGUCACCUUGGUUAUGACGUGUGAUCGCAGCGUCGCCUUAGGGCGGCCAACGGUAGGGGUGGAAACGCCCUUGCCCCCCGCGCUUGGAAAGGAGAACUGGUCACGAUAGC
This 155-nucleotide non-coding RNA is filed under the name Chloroflexota bacterium. RNAcentral's name for it is "Chloroflexi bacterium MoCo sequence". It matches the Rfam family "Molybdenum/Tungsten riboswitch aptamer (Moco RNA motif)". The record is from RNAcentral. Lineage: Bacteria; Bacillati; Chloroflexota.